This 366-nucleotide ribosomal RNA is filed under the name Zeugodacus cucurbitae (melon fly). Its description in RNAcentral is "partial 12S rRNA". It matches the Rfam family "Microsporidia small subunit ribosomal RNA", at positions 800 to 1311 of the family's 1311-position model. The record is from RNAcentral. Lineage: Eukaryota; Metazoa; Arthropoda; Insecta; Diptera; Tephritidae.
AGUCUAUUCAGAGGAACCUGUCCUGUAAUUGAUAAUCCACGAUGAACCUUACUUAAGUUUGUCUUUCAGUUUAUAUACCGUCGUUAUCAGAAUAUUUUAUUAGAAUAAUAAUUUUCUAUAAUUUUAAUAGGAAUGUAUAUCAGAUCAAGGUGUAGCUUAUAUUUGAGUAGAGAUGGGUUACAAUAAAUAUAUUUAAACGGAUCUAAUUAUGAAAUAUUUUUAGUGAAGGUGGAUUUGAUAGUAAAAUUUUAAAGAUUGUGAAUUUGAUUUUAGCUCUAGAAUAUGCACACAUCGCCCGUCGCUCUUACUAUUAAGGUAAGAUAAGUCGUAACAUAGUAGAUGUACCGGAAGGUGUAUCUAGAAUGA